UACGUAGGGUGCGAGCGUUGUCCGGAAUUAUUGGCGUAAAGAGCUUGUAGGCGGUUUGUCGCGUCUGCUGUGAAAAUCCGGGCUCAACCCCGGACUUGCAGUGGGUACGGGCAGACUAGAGUGUGGUAGGGGAGACUGGAAUUCCUGGUGUAGCGGUGAAAUGCGCAGAUAUCAGGAGGAACACCGAUGGCGAAGGCAGGUCUCUGGGCCACUACUGACGCUGAGAAGCGAAAGCAUGGGGAGCGAACAGGA
RNAcentral lists this ribosomal RNA (252 nucleotides) under uncultured bacterium. Its description in RNAcentral is "partial 16S ribosomal RNA". It matches the Rfam family "Bacterial small subunit ribosomal RNA", at positions 524 to 777 of the family's 1533-position model. The record is from RNAcentral.